UAUCUAAAGGUUUAUUCAUCAAAUGCUACAACAUACAGAAUGCAACGAAUCACCUGUCAUGAGCUUGCAGAAUAGAAAUACAAAAAUGACCAGUUAUAAAGUUAAAAUAAAUGCACAUCGCGUGUUAUGCACGUAAAGGCGUCAGUAAAACUCAAGUAGCUAAUUGCUUUUAAAUAAGAACAUGCAUAAGCAAACUGGUGCAGUUGCACAAGAACCACGUGAGAAUGAGGGACUGUUACAAAAGCACUAACGCAGAUCAAAAACAGCAACAACCUUCACUGGAGCACGACAGUGUCGCAUUGUGUAAUUAUUUAUCAGAAACUAUGAUAACAAUGUCAUAGGCGUUUAGAAUGAAUACGGGACGAUGCAUUUCGCCGACUUCCUUGCAGGAUCAGUUGGAGGAGCAUGUGGUGUGGCGGUCGGUUAUCCACUGGAUACUGUCAAAGUCAGAAUCCAAACUCAGAGACAGUUCACUGGAAUCUGGCACUGCAUCGUAACCACCGUUAAAAGAGAAGGGGU
This is a long non-coding RNA of Sinocyclocheilus anshuiensis, 519 nucleotides long. RefSeq lists it as uncharacterized. The record is from RefSeq and is a predicted model, not a curated record. The transcript has 3 exons. NCBI's taxonomy places the organism in Eukaryota, Metazoa, Chordata, Actinopteri, Cypriniformes, Cyprinidae.